Mytilus trossulus (common blue mussel) is the source of this 280-nucleotide long non-coding RNA. RefSeq lists it as uncharacterized. The transcript is spliced from 3 exons. The record is from RefSeq and is a predicted model, not a curated record. Lineage: Eukaryota; Metazoa; Mollusca; Bivalvia; Mytilida; Mytilidae.
UUAGCAGUUCUAUUCGUUGUCUAUUCUUGUGUAAAGAGUAAGAAAUGCAGGAACUACAAGAAUCCAGAGAUCCAGCGACUUCAACAGACCAUGUGCAAGGAUAUAAGCUGUGGAUUUGAACAAGUUUGUGAAAUCAAGAAUGUGCAGUGUGUAAGAGCACCAUGUCCUCCUUUAACCCAAUGUGUCCAAACAGGGGGAGCUUUGUCUAAAGGUGGUACUUGUCCUAAAGAAGACAACAAGAGUGCCUUUAAUGUGCAAUGCUUUGGAGAUUUCGGAUGUG